This 497-nucleotide ribosomal RNA is filed under the name uncultured bacterium. RNAcentral describes it as "partial 16S ribosomal RNA". It matches the Rfam family "Bacterial small subunit ribosomal RNA", at positions 28 to 507 of the family's 1533-position model. The record is from RNAcentral.
GACGAACGCUGGCGGCGUGCCUAAUACAUGCAAGUUGAGCGCUGAAGGUUGGUACUUGUACCAACUGGAUGAGCAGCGAACGGGUGAGUAACGCGUGGGGAAUCUGCCUUUGAGCGGGGGACAACAUUUGGAAACGAAUGCUAAUACCGCAUAAAAACUUUAAACACAAGUUUUAAGUUUGAAAGAUGCAAUUGCAUCACUCAAAGAUGAUCCCGCGUUGUAUUAGCUAGUUGGUGAGGUAAAGGCUCACCAAGGCGAUGAUACAUAGCCGACCUGAGAGGGUGGUCGGCCACAUUGGGACUUGGACACGGCCCAAACUCCUACGGGAGGCAGCAGGAGGGAAUCUUCGGCAAUGGACGAAAGUCUGACCGAGCAACGCCGCGUGAGGGGAGAAUGGUUUCGGAUCGUAAAACUCUGUUGGUAGAGAAGAACGUUGGUGAGAGUGGAAAGCUCAUCAAGUGACGGUAACUACCCAGAAAGGGACGGCUAACUACGUG